This 519-nucleotide ribosomal RNA is filed under the name uncultured eukaryote. RNAcentral's name for it is "bacterial SSU rRNA". It matches the Rfam family "Eukaryotic small subunit ribosomal RNA", at positions 1161 to 1705 of the family's 1831-position model. The record is from RNAcentral.
AGGGCACCACCUGAAGUGGAGCCUGCGGCUUAUUUUGACUCACCACGGGAAAUCUCCCCAGGCCCGGACACCUUAAGGAUUGACUGAUUGAGAGCUCUUUCUUGAUUCAGCGGGUGGUGGUGCUUGGCCCUUCUUAAUUGGUGGAGGGAUUUGUCUGGUUAAUUCCGAUCACGAGCGAGACUCUGGCCUACUAACUAGACGUUGGAUACUUUAUGGACGUUCGCUGCUUCUUUCAGGGACGGGCGGCGUUCAGCCCCCGAGAAUGAGCAAUAACAGGAGUGUGAUGCCCUUUGAUGUUCUGGGCUGCACUCGCGCUACACUGAAGGAAUCACCGUGUGUACCCUGUCCCAAAGGACUGGGAAACCCGGUGAACCUCCUUCUGGAUGGGGAUUGAGGAUUGAAAUUUUUCUCCCUGAACGAGGAAUUCCCACUUUGCGCGAGUCAUAAGCUUGCGUCCAUUACGUCCCUGCCCUUUGUACACACCGCCCGUCGAUACUACCGAUCGAGUGAUUUAUUGAG